RNAcentral lists this long non-coding RNA (874 nucleotides) under Coffea arabica (coffee). Its description in RNAcentral is "long non-coding RNA (CARA_LNC006992)". Lineage: Eukaryota; Viridiplantae; Streptophyta; Magnoliopsida; Gentianales; Rubiaceae. The record is from RNAcentral.
UGUGCCUCCAGACUUUGAAGCUUGCUAGCUGUCUUAGCACAAAUACUCCUAGAGGCUUGCAAUUCACUGUUACGCUUGGCCACAGCUUCUUUUAACAUUUUUGUUUCUUCCUCCAUGGCCAGUAAGCGUUCUGUGAGCAACUGAUUCUCUUUCUGAUAUUUAUGUGCAUUGUCUAUUGAAAAUUCAGGCAAUUGCGACAAAUGUGCCACAGGAGGCUUUACUGGAGAUCUCUUCAUCCGAGUUUCCCCUUGAUCACGGCCUAAGCUUUCAACUUCUAGCUUCAUUUGUGCCAACGCAGCAGGACCAGGCAACUUCUUUCGAACAAGACCACGUAAUCUUUGGCACUCUGCUUCCAGCUUAGCUAUUUUCUUUACUCCUUCCAAAUGCUGCUUGUUUGCCACUUCUGCUGAUCUUACAGUCAUGUUCUUUUCCUCAUUACGGAUUUCUAACUCCUUCGUAACUAUAUGGACUUCAUACUUUAGCGAAUUUAUUUCCUUUUGACAUGAUUCAAUAUUGCUGUUCAGAAGUUCUAUCUCUGCUUCAGCCUGUGAUUUUUCCUCAUUUAGCUUGAUCAGCAUGUUUGAACGCUCUUGCAAAGACCUUGAAAGUGCAGCAUUUUCAGCAGCAGACCUGCGCAAUUCUUGGUCCAAGUUGGAUAUUUUUGAUUCAAAGUCAAGCUUUAACUUGUCAAUCUGUUUUGUUUUGUUGACAACAACUUCAUGAAGUUUUUGUUCAUGUUCUUCCUUCAGGUUUCGUAUCUGCCGCAUGCAUUCCUUGAGAGCUCCAUCCAGGUGUGAUGCCCGAUCUUCAGCUGUUAGCUUUAACAGUGUAACGGAUUCUAGAUGGUUUUUCAAAGAUAAAGCUUCUGCCUCAG